This 265-nucleotide unclassified non-coding RNA is filed under the name Hevea brasiliensis (rubber tree). Lineage: Eukaryota; Viridiplantae; Streptophyta; Magnoliopsida; Malpighiales; Euphorbiaceae. The record is from RNAcentral.
ACCAAACCCCUGAUGGAUAGGCGGGAAGAUUCCACUCGAACUGCCGGGCUGCGAAAUAAAGGACGAGUGACCCCGCGACCGUAACGUCAGGCCGUCGUAGCAUCAGCCACAAUACCGGCGGAAAGACCGCCAUCAGCCCGAUAUAGAGCGGAAGAACAUCGAGGUUGAGGGGCUUGUAUUUCAGGAGCAAUCCCUGCGUUAACGUGGGGAUCGGACGAUCGAUAAGCCCGGCCACGUUAAACUCGUCCAGAAGAUGCGAGUCGUG